GCGCCCUUGGUGUAGCGGUAACACACAAUCUACAUCUCUCCAUUGAGCAGUGUGAUCAGGAAGAUUGGGUCCGGGGUUCGACUCCCCGAGGGUGCA
This is a non-coding RNA of Mycena leptocephala, 96 nucleotides long. The record is from the annotation of a GenBank genome assembly. NCBI's taxonomy places the organism in Eukaryota, Fungi, Basidiomycota, Agaricomycetes, Agaricales, Mycenaceae.